UACGGCCGCAUCACGUUGAAACCCCCGUUACCGUACGAUCACCGAAGUUAAGCAACGUCGAGUCUGGCCGGUAUCUAGAUGGGUGACUGCUUGGGAAUACCAAGUACUAU
Molecule: non-coding RNA, 110 nt
Organism: Acanthosepion pharaonis
Lineage: Eukaryota; Metazoa; Mollusca; Cephalopoda; Sepiida; Sepiidae
Source: the annotation of a GenBank genome assembly